AACGGGUGAGUAACACGUGGGUAACCUGCCCAUCAGAAGGGGAUAACACUUGGAAACAGGUGCUAAUACCGUAUAACAAUCGAAACCGCAUGGUUUUGAUUUGAAAGGCGCUUUCGGGUGUCGCUGAUGGAUGGACCCGCGGUGCAUUAGCUAGUUGGUGAGGUAACGGCUCACCAAGGCCACGAUGCAUAGCCGACCUGAGAGGGUGAUCGGCCACAUUGGGACUGAGACACGGCCCAAACUCCUACGGGAGGCAGCAGUAGGGAAUCUUCGGCAAUGGACGAAAGUCUGACCGAGCAACGCCGCGUGAGUGAAGAAGGUUUUCGGAUCGUAAAACUCUGUUGUUAGAGAAGAACAAGGAUGAGAGUAACUGUUCAUCCCUUGACGGUAUCUAACCAGAAAGCCACGGCUAACUACGUGCCAGCAGCCGCGGUAAUACGUAGGUGGCAAGCGUUGUCCGGAUUUAUUGGGCGUAAAGCGAGCGCAGGCGGUUUCUUAAGUCUGAUGUGAAAGCCCCCGGCUCAACCGGGGAGGGUCAUUGGAAACUGGGAGACUUGAGUGCAGAAGAGGAGAGUGGAAUUCCAUGUGUAGCGGUGAAAUGCGUAGAUAUAUGGAGGAACACCAGUGGCGAAGGCGGCUCUCUGGUCUGUAACUGACGCUGAGGCUCGAAAGCGUGGGGAGCAAACAGGAUUAGAUACCCUGGUAGUCCACGCCGUAAACGAUGAGUGCUAAGUGUUGGAGGGUUUCCGCCCUUCAGUGCUGCAGCUAACGCAUUAAGCACUCCGCCUGGGGAGUACGACCGCAAGGUUGAAACUCAAAGGAAUUGACGGGGGCCCGCACAAGCGGUGGAGCAUGUGGUUUAAU
This 864-nucleotide ribosomal RNA is filed under the name uncultured bacterium. RNAcentral's name for it is "bacterial SSU rRNA". It matches the Rfam family "Bacterial small subunit ribosomal RNA", at positions 101 to 950 of the family's 1533-position model. The record is from RNAcentral.